Molecule: ribosomal RNA, 515 nt
Filed under: uncultured bacterium
Lineage: Bacteria
Description: bacterial SSU rRNA
Rfam family: Bacterial small subunit ribosomal RNA
Source: RNAcentral
CACGGUAAACGAUGGAUGCCCGCUGUUUGCGAUAUACUGUGAGCGGCCAAGAGAAAUCGUUAAGCAUCCCACCUGGGGAGUACGCCGGCAACGGUGAAACUCAAAGGAAUUGGCGGGGGCCCGCACAAGCGGAGGAACAUGUGGUUUAAUUCGAUGAUACGCGAGGAACCUUACCCGGGCUUGAACUGCCAGCGAACGAUUCAGAGAUGAUGAGGUCCUUCGGGACGCUGGUGGAGGUGCUGCAUGGUUGUCGUCAGCUCGUGCCGUGAGGUGUCGGCUUAAGUGCCAUAACGAGCGCAACCCUUUUCUUUAGUUGCCAUCAGGUAAUGCUGGGCACUCUGGAGAUACUGCCACCGUAAGGUGUGAGGAAGGUGGGGAUGACGUCAAAUCAGCACGGCCCUUACGUCCGGGGCUACACACGUGUUACAAUGGGGGUUACAGAGAGUCGGAUAUACGCAAGUAUGUUCUAAUCCUUAAAGCCUUCCUCAGUUCGGAUUGGGGUCUGCAACCCGACC